Molecule: transfer RNA, 73 nt
Filed under: Sodiomyces alkalinus F11
Lineage: Eukaryota; Fungi; Ascomycota; Sordariomycetes; Glomerellales; Plectosphaerellaceae
Rfam family: tRNA
About the family: Transfer RNA (tRNA) molecules are approximately 80 nucleotides in length. Their secondary structure includes four short double-helical elements and three loops (D, anti-codon, and T loops). Further hydrogen bonds mediate the characteristic L-shaped molecular structure. tRNAs have two regions of fundamental functional importance: the anti-codon, which is responsible for specific mRNA codon recognition, and the 3' end, to which the tRNAs corresponding amino acid is attached (by aminoacyl-tRNA synthetases). tRNAs cope with the degeneracy of the genetic code in two manners: having more than one tRNA (with a specific anti-codon) for a particular amino acid; and 'wobble' base-pairing, i.e. permitting non-standard base-pairing at the 3rd anti-codon position.
Source: Rfam by way of RNAcentral
GGGGGAUUAGUAUAAUUUGGUAAUACGAUAACAUUGCAUACUAUAAUCCUGGGUUCGAAUCCCAGAUCCUCUA